AUGGCUAAACCCAGCAAGAAGCUGAAGGUUAAUAAGCCGGCUGACGAUCCCAAGGUUGCUAAUCCGGAAAAACAGACAAUGUCUGAGUCUUUGUCUCAAACAUCUGAAGCGGCCAUGGAUGAUCUGCCGCCAGAGGAGCACCCUGUCAUCGUGGAUCCCAUGAAUGUUGAUCCCAAAAAUGCUAAGCCGCCCAUCCCCGCUCAGCCGGCUCAAGAAACCGAAGACGUCAUAGUUACUGGGACGUCUUACACAGCACCAGGUAAUCCCACCGUUUUGUCCAAGCACAUCGCCAAAGAGGAUUUCUCCACUGUUGACAAAGGCAAGUGGAAAUUGGAUCUAGAGAGCUAUGCUCAAUUCAACGCCCGGGAUCUUCACACGGGUUACUUGAACCGCCUCUAUACCAACCGUGACUUUGAAGCCGGCUUGGUUAAUCUCAUGAAAGAUCCUUUUGAGGCUGAACUAAAUAUGAAGGAAUCCCAAGUCAAUGAUCUAAGGCAAAACAUUCAAACCCAGCAAUCUGAGACUUCAAAGGCCAAACUAGAGCUGAAGACUGCUUUGGAAAAUAUUGAAAAACUAAAAAAGGACUUCAGUGCUGAUAGAACCGGCUGGGACACCGAAAAGGCAGCUCUAUUGAAAAGAGCAGAAGAUGCUGAAGCUGCCCUUAAGCCGGUAACCAACGAGUUAUCUGGUUUAAAGUAUCAAAUCAACAGCAUGACAGCUGCCAUCUUUGGCUCCAGAAGCUCCAAGCUGGGUCAAAACAUGCCCAUCCGGCUUAAGGCUGCAUAUGCUCUUGUGGAGCAGCUGUACACUGGUGCUCAACGGGCUAUAUUUGCCGCCUCCAUAAGAAACAACCACCUUCCCUCAUCAAGGAAGUGUUGGAAAAGUUGUUCGUGCUUCCACAAAGGGUUGAAGAUUUGA
This 918-nucleotide ribosomal RNA is filed under the name Triticum aestivum (bread wheat). RNAcentral describes it as "partial small subunit ribosomal RNA". Lineage: Eukaryota; Viridiplantae; Streptophyta; Magnoliopsida; Poales; Poaceae. The record is from RNAcentral.